GAUGAACGCUAGCUACAGGCUUAACACAUGCAAGUCGCGGGGCAGCAUGGGGGUUGCUUGCAAUCCCCGAUGGCGACCGGCGCACGGGUGAGUAACGCGUAUCCAACCUGCCCUUUACCACGGGAUAACCCGGCGAAAGUCGGACUAAUACCGUAUGUUGUCCAUUGACGGCAUCCGAUUUGGACGAAAGGUUUGGCGGUGAAGGAUGGGGAUGCGUCCGAUUAGCUGGACGGCGGGGUGACGGCCCACCGUGGCGACGAUCGGUAGGGGUUCUGAGAGGAAGGUCCCCCACACUGGAACUGAGACACGGUCCAGACUCCUACGGGAGGCAGCAGUGAGGAAUAUUGGUCAAUGGGCGUAAGCCUGAACCAGCCAAGUAGCGUGCAGGAUGACGGCCCUAUGGGUUGUAAACUGCUUUUAUGCGGGGAUAAAGUGGCCCACGUGUGGGUUUUUGCAGGUACCGCAUGAAUAAGGACCGGCUAAUUCCGUG
This 490-nucleotide ribosomal RNA is filed under the name uncultured bacterium. Its description in RNAcentral is "partial 16S ribosomal RNA". It matches the Rfam family "Bacterial small subunit ribosomal RNA", at positions 28 to 507 of the family's 1533-position model. The record is from RNAcentral.